Molecule: long non-coding RNA, 1083 nt
Filed under: Medicago truncatula (barrel medic)
Lineage: Eukaryota; Viridiplantae; Streptophyta; Magnoliopsida; Fabales; Fabaceae
Description: long non-coding RNA (MTRU_LNC000139)
Source: RNAcentral
CUCACUCGCCUCACACUCUUUCACCUUCCUCUUCAAACCCUAGUGCCGCCGCCGCCUCUAACCACCACCACCUCACCAUCAAAUCCUCCUACCAACAUGAAUCACCACUUUCCAACUUGAUUCCCUUUGUUUUACGCCUUUCUCUGUCAAUACACGCAGAAAAAUGGAGGCAAAUCCUGAAACUCUCUCUCAGUCACUAACACCACCGUAGAGCCGUAAAUCGCCGUCGUUUAACACGCAGUCACCACCACAUCUAACCCUUACGACUCACUUAAUCUCGUAUCUUAGCCUCUCAUUCACAAUCGAACUUCGAACCCAGAUCUUGAUCGUUCCUUGAUCUUGUUGACUCUCUCUGUGUUACUACACGCUCAAAUCAAAGGUUAGAUUUUCUCUUUUUAAUGUUUGUCAUUUUUUGUUAUUGUUGUUAGAUUUAGGGGUGUGACUGUUUUUAUUUUUUGUUUCAUGAAUCACGUCUCUGAUCUGCAUAUGCUUCAGAUCUAAAGGUUAGAUAUUUUGUUUUUAAUCUUUAUAAUUUUUUUUUAUUUAGGGUUUAUGAGUUUCUGACCACGUGCUUUUGUUUUUGUUUCAUGAUUCACAUCCAUGCUCUGCAUAUGCUUCAAAUUUAAAGGUAAGAUCUGUUUUUAUUUUUUUAUUUUUUUUUAUGUUUGUAUUUUUAUAACCUUAGAUUUAGUGUUUCUGACUAUUUACUUUUGUUUUUAUUUCAUGAUUCACAUCUCUGUUCUGCGUAUGCUUCAAAUCUAAAGGUUGGUUUUUGUUACAUUUUUCAUAUUUUGAGCUUUGAUUUUUUCACUUCUUGCUUCUAACAUUUUUUUUUGUUUCAAUCUCAUCUCUGCUGCUUAUGCAUCUGCUGAAGAUUUGAAGGUACAUAUAGUUUUGUCCCAUGUAGAUGGUGCUUCAUUUGAAUUAUUUUGAUAUUGAACAAUACAUUAUAUAAUGCAUAAUGCUGCUACAUCUGAUACUAUAGACUUUUAUUUUCCAUCUGGAUGACUGUACUAAUUUAAAUCUUUACAAUGGUCUGCAAUGUUAUUUAUGCAUCUCCUAUCCUUCUUUAUAUGUAUUGUG